Trichobilharzia regenti is the source of this 45-nucleotide non-coding RNA. The record is from Rfam. Lineage: Eukaryota; Metazoa; Platyhelminthes; Trematoda; Strigeidida; Schistosomatidae.
AUCCAGCUGACGAGUCCCAAAUAUGACGAAAUGCACAUCCUGGAU